RNAcentral lists this ribosomal RNA (406 nucleotides) under uncultured bacterium. Its description in RNAcentral is "partial 16S ribosomal RNA". It matches the Rfam family "Bacterial small subunit ribosomal RNA", at positions 29 to 526 of the family's 1533-position model. The record is from RNAcentral.
AUUGAACGCUGGCGGCAGGCCUAACACAUGCAAGUCGAACGAGUGGCGGACGGGUGAGUAAUGUCUGGGAAACUGCCUGAUGGAGGGGGAUAACUACUGGAAACGGUAGCUAAUACCGCAUACCAUCGGAUGUGCCCAGAUGGGAUUAGCUAGGAGGUGGGGUAAAGGCGCACCUAGGCGACGAUCCCUAGCUGGUCUUAGAGGAUGAUCAGCCACACGGGGAAUGAGACACGGCCCAGACUCCUAAGGGAGGCAGCAGUGGGGAAGAUUGCACAAGGGGCGAAAGCCUGAUGCAGCCAUGCCGCGUGUAUGAAGAAGGCCCUAGGGUUGUAAAGUACUUUCAGUCGGGAGGCGUUACCGACAGAAGAAGCACCGGCUAACUCCGUGCCAGCAGCCGCGGUAAUUC